GAUUGGGAGCCUGAGAUGAAUAAAAUACAGGAGGAAAUUGCUGGUGUUAAAGGAACAAUACACAGACCAAGUCCUAUUUGAAAUAUCGCUGAAUAAUGUUCAUUAUUCAAUGGAAAAGUUAAAAAUGAAUAUUUUUUUUGUGAUGAAAACUCAAUAAAUUUGAGUGAGACACAAGGGAUUACGCCGCUGGUAAAGUGUGUGCCUGGAAAGAAAGGUCCCUGAGGCAGCAACGCAUUUAGAAGUUUGAACUACCGGGACACCAUAGACCAUGUGAUGCACAGAGAGAGAAGCGCCAUGCUGGGAGGUCACAAUGGAGCUCCAGCCAUUUAGAGGACUUCCCACACAGCGGCAUGGAGGAGCGCAAUCAGCAUCAGCUGGGGGUGGGGGAGAGAGAGGUCACACGGUAGAUCCCGGCAUCAUAGGGGCAUCGGCACAAGUGGAGUCACACAGCGGAGAUCCCAAAGGAAGCCUAUAGCUCAGCAGUGUUUCUGUCCCUAGAGCAGACACAGCUCCAACAUAAGGGUGAAAUGGUGGUGUCCAUACUCAAUGAGAUACGAGUGACCCCACGGUGCUUAGAGAAAGUGGUUCCAGCACUUCAGUCCAUGGCUGAUUAUUCCUCCGAUCUCUGCCAACUUCUGCCUUUAAUGCUACAGAUGGAGCCUGAGAAGCGCUGUACUGUAAAGGGGUAAUUACAGAAGAAGCCGACCCCUCAGCUGCAGGAGAACCAGCGACCCCUCCCCAGUGAGGAACCAACAAAACAUUCUCCUGGAAGGAUUUGGACUUGUGUUUUAGCCGACUCCAAUUGGGAGCGAUUUUCCUGGGUCUCCUACAACAGAGCCGUGGAGUUGGCAGUGGAUGGAGCACGUGGUUGUGUGUGAAUGGCAGCUUGACUCUGUGUGUGUCAGUUGAAUAAGGUUCUUCCACCCAAAAUGGCAGCUUCCUUCUGUGCAAUCAUUGAUCAAUAUUUGUCUGGUGUUGGCAUCCAGGGAGAUGGGCCUCACACUUAACCUUGUAUAUGCUGGACACGGGAACGUUCAGGUCUCUGCACAAGGACCUGUAGCUUUGAGAUGCUCCUCAUUCAUUACAUACACUUUCUCCCACACAAAGCUGCAGGAAUGGGGCACAAUUUUAACAUAUUAUCCAGAUCCAGACCAGCCUCUAUGGAGGCCCCAUUAAACCACAUCUCAGUUUUAUUAACUCUGCAGUGACAAUUCUCUCUGCUCAUGGCUCUCCAUAGCCUGUAAGGGAGCAAUCAUUUCCAGGUUAUAAAAAUUCCCAACUGUGUCACGUAGAGCUGGGCUUUUCCCAACUGUUGUGCCUCCUGGAGAAACCCAAGCUGAAGGCUGGAGAAGCCUCUUGUUUUCUCUAACAAAUGGGCAGUGUUAGUGAGCAGCUCAGAGACUCCAUGGUUGGCAGUGUUUGCCUCUUCCUCUAUGUGUUUGCUAUGGAGUGUCGGGUCAAUACCAUAUAAAUAAGGGAGAGGGAGUUGUUGAUGUGACGUGGUGGCCUAGUGGAUAAUGCAUUUGGCAUAGAUUGUUGUGAUCUUGAGUUUGAAUUCAGCCUUAGUUGUGUUUGAAAUAUGUUGUUUGUCUUUAAAGUGCUGAAUAAACAUGUUGAUGAUGUUGAUACAAAAGACAAUGCUCAUCUGUUGGGUGGCACAGUGACUCCUGUGGAGCAGAAAAUGUGGGACCGGCCUGAGGAAUUGGGUUUUUAUCCAGGUGUAGCAGUGAGUGAGAAGUGUCUUUUCCCUUUAAAGUGCUGAACAAACAGGAUAAUCCAUGAUAAAUUUACCAAAAACAAAGUUGUAUCUUGUGUGGCAAGGUGGCUCAUGGUGUAGCACUCCUGUGUAGUAGAGUCUGUGGGUCGGAAUUUGAAUCCUUUGGCAGGGGACUAGGGUUCGAAUCCAGUAGUGAUUCUCUUUAAAUUGCUGAACAAACAUGAUAAUCCAUGAUAAAUUUACCAAAAACACAAUAGAAUCUUGUGCGGACAGGUGGCUCGUGGAGUAGCACUGCUGGGUAGCAGAACCUGUCGGCCUGAGUUCAAAUCCCAUCUGUGACUGUGCGGAUCGCAGGCAGGUGGGAGAGGGCGUGAGUUCAAAUCCCGUCUGUGACUGUGUGGGGCGCAGCCAGAUGGGUGAAGUAGGCCGGAGCAAACAUGGUUGGGGGCUGUGGGCCACUCCACAAGUGAAAAAGCAGGGGUUAUAGAAAAAGUUGUUGUGAAAAUUACAAUUU
Long non-coding RNA from Xenopus laevis (African clawed frog), 2231 nucleotides. RefSeq lists it as uncharacterized. The transcript has 4 exons. The record is from RefSeq and is a predicted model, not a curated record. Lineage: Eukaryota; Metazoa; Chordata; Amphibia; Anura; Pipidae.